Molecule: long non-coding RNA, 330 nt
Organism: Microplitis demolitor
Lineage: Eukaryota; Metazoa; Arthropoda; Insecta; Hymenoptera; Braconidae
Exons: 3
Source: RefSeq, a predicted model, not a curated record
CGCGAACAGAAAGCGGUUGAGAUGUUGACGGCAAUUGUUUAACCCCUUUGUCUUGCUAAUUAAAGUCAUCAAGUCAUCAAGUUAGUUGGAAUUGAUUGAUAAAAAUGACGGGAUAUUUAAUUUCGAGAAUAUAUUCUAUAUAUAUAUUCGAUAUCUGGAUGUAUUCACUUGCUCGAGUGAUUGUUCAUCAUCACUUUCUUCACUGAUACAUCGUUGAUGCAAAAAUGCUUUGAAAAGAAAAAUAAACUUUAGUGAGAGAUUCAUCGGAGUAAAAUUAAUAUAUUUAUGCUGAUUAUCAUGAGUCUUUUGUGCUGGUUCCGGAUGCUGGAA